RNAcentral lists this ribosomal RNA (481 nucleotides) under uncultured bacterium. RNAcentral describes it as "bacterial SSU rRNA". It matches the Rfam family "Bacterial small subunit ribosomal RNA", at positions 28 to 507 of the family's 1533-position model. The record is from RNAcentral.
GACGAACGCUGGCGGCGUGCUUAACACAUGCAAGUCGAACGGAGUUACGUAUGAAGUAUUUCGGUACGGACUACAUAACUUAGUGGCGAACGGGUGAGUAACACGUGGGCAACCUGCCCUUAACCGGGGGAUAACAUUGUGAAAACAGUGCUAAUACCGCAUAACAGAGUAUCGGGCAUCCGAUAUUUUUAAAAGGAGCAAUCCGGUUUAAGGAUGGGCCCGCGUCCAAUUAGCUAGUUGGUGAGGUAACGGCUCACCAAGGCUACGAUUGGUAGCCGAACUGAGAGGUUGAUCGGCCACAUUGGGACUGAGACACGGCCCAGACUCCUACGGGAGGCAGCAGUGGGGAAUAUUGGGCAAUGGGCGAAAGCCUGACCCAGCGACGCCGCGUGAAGGAUGAAGGUCUUCGGAUUGUAAACUUCUUUGAUCAGGGAAGAAAGAAAUGACGGUACCUGAAGAACAAGCCACGGCUAACUACGUG